GAGCAACAAAGUACAAACUAGCAAAAGUGCUUAUCUGGAGAAUGAGUAAUCAAAAAUCAUUUUUAUGAGUAUAAGAGCUUGGUGUAAUUCCUACUACAUACAUCAGAAGAUCACUAACAUUCUUGUGCUUAUGAAGGAAGAUGAUAGAAUAAAAGUGUUACCGGUGGCAUGAUGAAUUUGUCGGUGAGUAAGCAGACAGCAGGAAGAAUACAGUAGGCAACUAGAGGUAUGGAGGUGAAGGGGUAGAUAGUUGUGUUUGCAUAGGCAAAUCGCUCCAGCCAUUUCAGGUUCCCUUCCUUGUGGCCAUACCAUAAGGGGCAA
Long non-coding RNA from Lathyrus oleraceus (garden pea), 321 nucleotides. RefSeq lists it as uncharacterized. NCBI's taxonomy places the organism in Eukaryota, Viridiplantae, Streptophyta, Magnoliopsida, Fabales, Fabaceae. The transcript has 2 exons. The record is from RefSeq and is a predicted model, not a curated record.